CUCGUCACUACUCUACCGAGGUUAGGCUUGACACUUAUUGGGUACCGCUGUGGUGUACUCAUACUAGGUUUCGGCACAUCUUUUUGUGCAGAUCCAGGUACGCCCUAUCAGACCAGACAUCAGUGAAUUUGACUGUACACGGAGACUUCAAGGUACAUCUGUCAGCAUCCCCAGACCCUGGAGUCCCCUUCUUUCCUUAUUAUGUCGUUUUUCUUAUUUUCUUUAGACCCUGAUGUAAAGAGACACUGAGGAUAAAUUCUUAGAAGCUUGUGACUUAUUUUCUACCGGGUUUUGGGAGUUGUAAUUGUUAAAUUUAUAAUUCUUAUUUAUUCAACUAUUAAGGAUUAAAUUUCAGUUAUUCUGCAUUGAUAGGCUUACCUAGUCUUAGAGAUUAGGUGCCAUCACGACAUCCUACUGAGGAAAUUUGUGGUCGUGACAAGUGCACGUUUCAUGCGACUUGACCAAAAUUUCAAAUAAUUAAAAUAAACAUAUUGUAAAUCGCGGGUGCGUUUCACGUGGUGCGAUUUGCAAUAUGUACAAAAAUAGCGAGUGCGAGACAUCGCGACUUAUUCAAAUAAAUUUCAUAAAUAUUAAAAAGGGGCUAAAAAUAAAUGAAAGCGGUAUAAAAUCAGCAAUGCAUAAAAGGUUUUAGACUUGUAAUAAAUCAAAUAAUUAAGCCGAACAUUAAUUGUUAAGCGACCGUGCUAAAAUCACGGAACUCGGGAGUGCCUCACACCUUCUCCCGGGUUAACAGAAUUCUUUACCUGGUCUUCUAUGUUCGCGGACCAUAAAUAGAGUCAAUUUUCUCGAUUUGGGAUUUUAAAAUAAACCGGUGACUUGGGAUACCAUAAUAAUUAUUUCAAAUGGCUACUCUGAUUAAAUAAAUAAUCUCAUUUCGAACAAUAUCACUUUAAUUAAAAAAAACUCUAUAUUCUUCGAAAAAUGGAGGUGUGACAAAGGACAAUUAUUAUUGUCAUUGUUCUUGUACGAACUUGAAAAAGAAUUAGAGGUGUUGAGCAAAGACGAAGGUUGGUGAAGUUUUGAAGUUGAGAUUCAACUGCUAAACUCAUUCUAGAUCCUUAGUUGCUGAUGAGAUUCGAAAAUGGAGAAAGAAUUUCAAAUAUACCAUUGUUGAAAAUUAAAAAAUCUUGAACAAAAAACGAGUUUGUUGAAGUUCUUGGUUGUUGGCCAAAUUGAUUACUCGGGUUUGGUGAUAAUGUUGUUGUGAAAUUGUAGUUGAAAUUUAAGCUUGAUUGGUGCGGAUUUGGUUGAGGCUUUGUUGAAUUUUGAGAAGCAAAAUUAAAUUUGAAGCUCUUGAAAAUUGUAAUAAAAUAUUCAUGAAAUCAAGUGUGUUUUGGAAGAACGACUCAUGAAAAUCGGUCCCGAGACUGACACAUGGCAAUGCCGUAUAGGUUACGGUCUUUUUCUUUAAGUUCUUAUGCGCUUGAAGGAGGUGUUUUCAUGUUUGGGUCCAAGUUAGCACAUAAGGUGCAAAAACUUUUGAAAAAAAUAAAUUGAUAGGGGAUAAUAAGACCCCGAAAAGAAAAGGUGUGAUUGAAAUUUCGGUGAUAGGGUACUUAUACCUUUUCCCAACCAAAAAGAAAGAUGAUAAAGCAUUAAAAAAAAGUACCUGAUAAAUUACUGUAACCAUUAAACCCAAAGAAAAAAAAUGAAGAGAAGAAAGUAACCAAAGGAGAAAAAAGAAAGAUGAUGUUAUUAUGAGUAUCAAAGAUUACGAUUAGUGAGAAAAGUAUGAACAAACCAUAAAAUGAAAUGUUUGUUUUAUUCUUCCAAUUUUGUUGUAACUUAAUCUUUUUAUCAAAAGAUUGAUAGAACCUAUUAUUAGUUGAUUGAUAUAAUUAUUUUAUUUGAAUGAUCUUGGCUUAUUGCUAAUUGUUUUUUUUUUUGUAGGUAAACAAUUUUAUUUACCAAAUGAAAGCGUAAAAAACAAAACAAGCACCUCCUCGACAAGGUUGCUCUACCUCUAACCGUCAGAACUUCCCAUAACUCCCAACACACUCAUUAACACUACUCCUUAAGGAUAGAAAUUAAGUUUAUCAUAUUUUAUUUUUUUAAAUCCCUUUCAAAUUAGGAGAAUCUAUAGUAUUUUCACACUUCCCCUUUAACCGUCAGAACUUCCCAUAACUCCCAACACACUCAUUAACAUUACUCCUAAAGGAUAGAAAUUAAGUUCAUCAAGUUUUUUUUUUAAAAUCCCUCUCAAAUUAGGAUGAUCUAUAAUGUUUCCACACUUCCCCUCCAGCGUGACUCGAAUCCAGGACCUAACGGUCAUGGGUGAAGGUACUUUACCAACUGAGCAAACCUCACUUGUCAGUUCAUCAUGUUUCUUAGCAAAUCUGGCCUUCAAAAUUCCUCAGCAGUGCACUUCUUGGGUGAUUGCUCUAAUGAAAAGAGCUCU
This 2419-nucleotide long non-coding RNA is filed under the name Nicotiana tabacum (common tobacco). RNAcentral's name for it is "long non-coding RNA (NTAB_LNC010672)". The record is from RNAcentral. Lineage: Eukaryota; Viridiplantae; Streptophyta; Magnoliopsida; Solanales; Solanaceae.